AGCAGUCGCCGCGGUAAUACAGAGGGUGCAAGCGUUAAUCGGAAUUACUUGGCGUAAAGCGUGCGUAGGCGGCUUCUUAAGUCGGAUGUGAAAUCCCUGAGCUUAACUUAGGAAUUGCAUUCGAUACUGGGAAGCUAGAGUAUGGGAGAGGAUGGUAGAAUUUCAGGUGUAGCGGUGAAAUGCGUAGAGAUCUGGAGGAAUACCGAUGGCGAAGGCAGCCAUCUGGCCUAAUACUGACGCUGAGGUACGAAAGCAUGGGGAGCAAACAGGAUUAGAUACCCGCGUAGUCCCUGUCUCUUAUAC
Molecule: ribosomal RNA, 303 nt
Filed under: uncultured bacterium
Lineage: Bacteria
Description: partial 16S ribosomal RNA
Rfam family: Bacterial small subunit ribosomal RNA
Source: RNAcentral